AAAGGGCGAGGGAAAACCGGACAAGCAACCUCUCGUACCUGAUCUUAAAGACUUCCAUUGCGUGUCCCUCUGUACAGCUUUGCAGGCUCCGGCCUCGGCAGCGGGGGGUUCAUAGUGGUCGUCGACCUCCACGAAACUGCUCGCCCCGGCGUGACAGCGUACUGGGGAUGCCUGUGUUUACGCAGUCCGGGCUUGCCUGGACCGCCAGCAGAUGGGCUCUGUGGAUGACUGGCCGCUGGCUAGACCUGAAACCUGAGCAACGGGAGGUAACCUCUCGCCGUGGACACCGGAAUGGUAGAAGCGGCGUGCUGCGUCCUCCUCUUGGGGCCCCUAAGCCACACCUCCCACAGCGGGUUCGGUGCGGCGGACGGACGCCCUGGGGAAUUUAGAGGGGGAAAGCGGAUUGCCCUAGCGGUGCUGUUGGCCCUGCCGACCUCACUGCGAAAGGCGCGACU
This 455-nucleotide ribosomal RNA is filed under the name Fusarium circinatum. RNAcentral's name for it is "partial 28S ribosomal RNA". Lineage: Eukaryota; Fungi; Ascomycota; Sordariomycetes; Hypocreales; Nectriaceae. The record is from RNAcentral.